Molecule: transfer RNA, 74 nt
Filed under: Lentisphaerota bacterium
Lineage: Bacteria; Pseudomonadati; Lentisphaerota
Also listed under: 1 other name
Description: Lentisphaerae bacterium (anaerobic digester metagenome) tRNA-Gly
Rfam family: tRNA
About the family: Transfer RNA (tRNA) molecules are approximately 80 nucleotides in length. Their secondary structure includes four short double-helical elements and three loops (D, anti-codon, and T loops).
Source: RNAcentral
GCGGGCAUAGCUCAAUGGUAGAGCUCUAGCCUUCCAAGCUAGCUAUACGGGUUCGAUUCCCGUUGCCCGCUCCA